GAUGAACGCUGGCGGCGUGCUUAACACAUGCAAGUCGAACGAAGAUAUUAAGAAUGAGAGCUUCGGCAGGAAUUUUUCUUAUCUUAGUGGCGGACGGGGGAGUAACGUGUGGGCAACCUGCCCUGCACUGGGGAAUAAUCAUUGGAAACGAUGACUAAUACCGCGUACGGUUCCUGGGAGGCAUCUUCCGGGAAAGAAAGGAUUUAUUCGGUGUAGGAUGGGCCCGCAUCUGAUUAGCUAGUUGGUGAGAUAACAGCCCACCAAGGCGACGAUCAGUAGCCGACCUGAGAGGGUGACCGGCCACAUUGGGACUGAGACACGGCCCAA
This 327-nucleotide ribosomal RNA is filed under the name uncultured bacterium. RNAcentral's name for it is "bacterial SSU rRNA". It matches the Rfam family "Bacterial small subunit ribosomal RNA", at positions 28 to 334 of the family's 1533-position model. The record is from RNAcentral.